Molecule: antisense RNA, 208 nt
Filed under: Coxiella burnetii RSA 493
Lineage: Bacteria; Pseudomonadati; Pseudomonadota; Gammaproteobacteria; Legionellales; Coxiellaceae
Description: Coxiella burnetii sRNA 3
Rfam family: Coxiella burnetii sRNA 3
About the family: CbSRs 2, 3, 4 and 9 are located antisense to identified ORFs. CbSRs are up-regulated during intracellular growth in host cells.
Source: Rfam by way of RNAcentral
GCCGUGAAAGCCCUCGAUUCUUUGUCUAUCGGUAGACGGCCUACGCACGGGAACGACGGACAUUUUUUUCAACUACUUGAUAUUCCCUCUUUACCUCGGUCCCUUAGUUGACGCCUAUGCACGCAGGUGGGAAUCCAGCGCGCCUUUGGCGCGCAGCGCACAUAGUGCGCUGUGUCCCCGCCUGCGCGGGGAUGACGAGGGGGCGUGG